Molecule: ribosomal RNA, 402 nt
Filed under: uncultured bacterium
Lineage: Bacteria
Description: bacterial SSU rRNA
Rfam family: Bacterial small subunit ribosomal RNA
Source: RNAcentral
UAGGGAAUCUUGGACAAUGGGCGAAAGCCUGAUCCAGCCAUGCCGCGUGAGUGAUGAAGGCCUUAGGGUUGUAAAGCUCUUUCGCCAGGGAAGAUAAUGACGGUACCUGGAUAAGAAGCCCCGGCAAACUUCGUGUCAGCAGCCGCGGUAAUACGAAGGGGGCUAGCGUUGUUCGGAAUUACUGGGCGUAAAGCGCACGUAGGCGGUUUUCCAAGUUGGAGGUGAAAUCCCUAGGCUCAACCCGGGAACUGCCUCCAAAACUGGAUGACUCGAGUCCGAGAGAGGUGAGUGGAAUUUCCAGUGUAGAGGUGAAAUUCGUAGAUAUUGGAAAGAACACCAGUGGCGAAGGCGGCUCACUGGCUCGGUACUGACGCUGAGGUGCGACAGCGUGGGGAGCAAACA